This 308-nucleotide ribosomal RNA is filed under the name uncultured bacterium. RNAcentral describes it as "bacterial SSU rRNA". It matches the Rfam family "Bacterial small subunit ribosomal RNA", at positions 8 to 292 of the family's 1533-position model. The record is from RNAcentral.
AGAGUUUGAUCCUGGCUCAGGACGAACGCUGGCGGCGUGCCUAACACAUGCAAGUCGAACGGAGAUAAGCGCUGGUGAUUUAGCUUGCUAGAGAUCCUUGUUUAUCUUAGUGGCGGACGGGUGAGUAACGCGUGAGCAACCUGCCUUUCAGAGGGGGAUAACGUCUUGAAAAGGACGCUAAUACCGCAUGACAUUAUGGAGCCACAUGGCUCUAUAAUCAAAGGAGCAAUCCGCUGAAAGAUGGGCUCGCGUCCGAUUAGGUAGUUGGCGGGAUAACAGCCCACCAAGCCGACGAUCGGUAGCCGCGG